This is a non-coding RNA of Vicia faba (fava bean), 279 nucleotides long. NCBI's taxonomy places the organism in Eukaryota, Viridiplantae, Streptophyta, Magnoliopsida, Fabales, Fabaceae. The record is from the annotation of a GenBank genome assembly.
AUGUCCAAGCCCAAUGAUAAAACGAUGAACAAAAUAUGGUUCCAAUUAUGCAUGUGGCUUGAAAAGACAACAACAGAUGAGAAAGUUACUACAAAAUGGGAGGUGCAUAAAUAUAAGUCAGACCCAAUGAUAUACAAAGUCUUUCACUGCAUCUCAAUUUCUUUGUAUCUUGGUAUGACCAUGAGCAACAGGAAUAUGCCUAAACUAUAUUACAUCAGAUCACAUUUAAUUUCAAAUUAUGUACAUAAUCAAAGAUAUACAUUUGUUAUAUCUGUUUAA